RNAcentral lists this ribosomal RNA (753 nucleotides) under uncultured Acidobacteriota bacterium. RNAcentral describes it as "bacterial SSU rRNA". It matches the Rfam family "Bacterial small subunit ribosomal RNA", at positions 8 to 739 of the family's 1533-position model. The record is from RNAcentral. Lineage: Bacteria; Pseudomonadati; Acidobacteriota.
AGAGUUUGAUCAUGGCUCAGAAUCAACGCUGGCGGCGUGCCUAACACAUGCAAGUCGAACGCUAUUCGGGGCUUCGGUUCCGAGUGGAGUGGCGAACGGGUGAGUAACACGUGGGUGACCUACCUUCGAGUGGGGGAUAACGUCCCGAAAGGGACGCUAAUACCGCAUGACGUUCUGGAUUUGAACAUCUGGAAACCAAAGCCGGGGACCGUAAGGCCUGGCGCUUGAAGAGGGGCCCGCGUCUGAUUAGCUAGUUGGCGGGGUAAUGGCCCACCAAGGCGACGAUCAGUAGCCGGCCUGAGAGGGCGGACGGCCACACUGGGACUGAGACACGGCCCAGACUCCUACGGGAGGCAGCAGUGGGGAAUUGUUCGCAAUGGGCGCAAGCCUGACGACGCAACGCCGCGUGGGGGAUGAAGGUCUUCGGAUUGUAAACCCCUGUCGAACGGGACGAAUGGCCUCUGAGUUAAUACCUUGGGGGAUUGACGGUACCGUUAAAGGAAGCCACGGCUAACUCUGUGCCAGCAGCCGCGGUAAUACAGAGGUGGCAAGCGUUGUUCGGAAUUACUGGGCGUAAAGGGCGCGUAGGCGGCCUUCUAAGUCAGACGUGAAAUCCCCCGGCUCAACCUGGGAACUGCGUCUGAUACUGGAUGGCUUGAGUGCGGGAGAGGGAUGCGGAAUUCCAAGUGUAGCGGUGAAAUGCGUAGAUAUCUGGAGGAACACCGGUGGCGAAGGCGGCAUCCUGGACCGACA